AUGCUAUCAAAACGGCCUUCUUGCUAACAGAUUGUUAAAGCCCCACAGAACAGUUCUUAUAUGCUUAUGAUUUUAUUUUGUAAAGGGAGAAUAGAGAAGAAAAGAGAACAGAAAGGAGUACUGGUGCAUUUCAACAAAGCCGCAUGAAACCAGGAGCAACCA
Molecule: long non-coding RNA, 162 nt
Organism: Mastomys coucha (southern multimammate mouse)
Lineage: Eukaryota; Metazoa; Chordata; Mammalia; Rodentia; Muridae
Exons: 3
Source: RefSeq, a predicted model, not a curated record